GGCAGGGCUCCACCCAAGAGGAAGAAAACAAAGACAAUGCCACAAAGCUAGAGGAAGAACCCAGCCAGGGCACCUCUCUAGGUCAGGCAGACUUGGCAUUUGAUUUGCUGGCUUACUAUUCCCUGGGCAUUGGCUCUAAAAGGCACAGAGGGCACUGGUCACUCUGGGCCUGGUGGCCCUGAAGACACCAGACUAUAUCUGAAACACACAAGGAUCCCCUUUCCUCUCAGACUUCAACCCACCUGCACUGCUAUGUGUGUUCCGUUGGCUGUGGCCAACAGCGCCACCUGUUGAUGAUGAAGGGAUGCUACACUUGAGUUCUCGGCCACCACAGCCCCAGAGGUAAUGAUUGUGACCUGAAACACAGAAGAUCUUCCACCCACCUGCAGUACCCUCCAUCUCCCCACUCCUAAUAACAACCACUCCACACAAGAUGGCUAGGAACAACCCAGAAAAAAAUGGACAAGACCAUGUAGAUCAUAUUAAUUAGUUUGAGGCUCUGAGAUGAACGAGGUUGUGUUUUUCUCCAAUUUAGAGCCCAGGAGAAUUCAGGAUUUCAAAUCGUAGGACAGAGUUAUAAAGGACCCCAGAGAGAAUUUAAUCCCUUCAGCUGAAAAUAGACCUUGAAGUUCAUGAAAAAGUGAUUGCCUACUUUUCAGCAAAGCAAAUUUAGAGUAAACUGAGAUUUAGAAACCAUCUCUUGACCCCAUUGUGUGUGUGUGAGUGUGCGCUGUACUGCGAAUUGAACCCAGGGGUACUUAAUACUGAGAUAUGCUCUCAGCAGUUUUUUUAAAAGACAGGAUCUCACUAAAUUGUCCAGGCUGGCCUCAAACUUCUGGUCAUCUUGCCUAAGCCCCUUGAGUGGCUGGGAUUACAGGCCAUGAUACCCAACUCAAGUCAAAUGCUUUUAAAGGUUUGAGUUGCCCAGAGGAGCUGCGGGGAAGACCUUUGAUGGUGGGGAAUCUUUGUCCUUGAAAAGGCUUGGCUAGUUUGGCCUGUACUUUCAUGCCCACCCCAUGGAAAGGUUAACAAGAGAACAAGAAACCCUAAGCAAACUGCCUGGUCAUACGGGCUGCGUCUGGGUGCCAUCAGCGCUGACCAUGGUGACUGUAUGUGUGCCAGAUGUGGCCAGGUCAUCGUUGUGGCUGGGGAUGGUGAGGGUGGUGCUGCCGUGCUGGGUUACCACACUGAUGGCACUCCCCAGGGCCUGCAGGUCUUCUGGGGACAGGCUGACCUGCCAAAAGGAGGGGAGAAGAUGAGCUGGAACACCAGAAAAGGGGUGUCUGAAAACCCCUCAGGAGGGUGUCUGCUCUCCCAGAUAAGCAAGCAAAACAGGGCCAAGACAGCAGAGAGCUACGCUAAAAUUGACUAACCACUUCUGUGACCACCACUUUGCCUUCAAGCCCUGCUAUUGCAUCAGGGUCUUCACCAAAUUUCAUCCCUGACACCUCUAGAAGGCCUACGUGUACUGGGCAGAGAGGGUGUGGACAAGGGCCAGGUUAUACUGCUGGCUGGUAACACUGGUGGGACUUCCAGGCUUCCGGAACCCUAUACCAACGUGCCUCUUGAGAAGGACAUUCAAAUGUCUCAGUUGGACACCUAUCAGCUUCCAAGAGGAAAGCUACUAUUUUCCAGAAGCUGAGACUAGGCUGGAAGCAAGAGGCUGGGCUACACGAUUUGGUCCCCUCAGCUUUAGCUCUCUGAAGUCCACAGAGCUAAAAUAGAAAUCUGCAUGGAAGUGGGGUUGUCAGAACUUCAGAGCUCCCCAGAGUUCCUAGAGAGAAUGAAGUGGUCAUUUUGGCCUGCCCCAGCCCUGUACCUGCUGGGCACCAUCCUGAGUGAUGAGAGCCACCUGGGGAGCCCCAUCCUCCUCAGUCACCAUGGCCACUUGAGCUGGGAUGUCAUCACCCUCUUCCUUCACUUCUGACAGGUGCCCUCCAUCCUAAACUGUGCUCUGGGAGGCUCCAAAAGCCCACACUGGUCUAUUCUAUGUUGCCUGGGCAGGGAAGAGGGCGUAGAAAAGCCCACUUUGUCCUCUCCUGUAGCAGCUGGAAGCAUUACAAAAAUGUAAGUAUGAGAACCUAGAGAAUCUGUGGCUAAAGGUCUUUGUUUCACAGAAGGAAAAAUAUAGCCCAGAGAUGCCAUGGCCCUCAGCACCCCACAUCUAAUGAUUUUCAGAGCUGAUAUGACAAGGAGUGUCUCUCUACCUAUGCCCCUGUUUCCUUCCACUGGCCUUGACCAUGCUGCCUUUCGCUUCUGUAGCAGGGUUUCCUUCAAAGGCAGCACCUGCAGGUCAGAGCACUCUCAGUAGUUUCUCUAGAUUGGCAGCCUGUGUUGUGCCUCUCUCAAGGAGGCCCCAAAGCUGAUCUAGAAUCCUCUGCUCUCAAUUGGAAGCAGUCUACCUUCAGUCUCCAUCCAGGUAAGUUACCUGUGGCAAAGGCCUUUCCACAGCUGGGGAAAUCACACCUGUAUGGACGGUCACCUGUGUGAGCUCGUUCAUGCACCUGUGAGGACAAGAAAUUGCAUAAUUCAGAGGGACAGGAGUAUAGGCUCGUCUCUGGUUCUCUUCAGGGCCCUGGUUCUUCCCUGCUAUUCUGUACAUGUGUAUCAUAACCUCCUGUGCUGAUGUUUCUGUGUAUGUAUCUCUUCCCUCUAGAAGGUAAUGUGCAAAUUGAGGGCAGGAACCAGUUCCAAAAAAGCAGAAUGGCAGAAUUUCAGCCUGGCAGGAAGGUAGGUAGAGCUGAAAAUUGCCUACUAGCCACCUUACCUUUAAGUGAUGUGCAGUGGUAUAGAGACGCCCACAGCCCUUGUAGCCACAGCGGAAUGCUCUGUCUCCAACCUGCUGCCCUUUGCCAUUAUGAGGAGCCUGGCUGUCAUGUAGAACCUGAGGAAAAAGUCUUAGGGUCCCUAUAUGGAUUCUCCCCAUUGAAGGAAAAGAAGUGGUAGCAUACAGGGUCCAACUGACAGCCUAUGACUCAAUAACAUGGUAAAACUAUCAAGGGCCUCUAGGGUAGAGGACAUAUCCAGACAGAAAGGGAACAGAUAUUCAGGCACACUGCAAGAGAAGCCAUGCUGGCAAUAUGAAGUCAUACUCAUCUCUGAUGGACAGAGCGGGGACAGUCACAGGGGCUGUGGUAGCUACUGAAGAAGGAAUAUCUCGUAGCCAAUUAGGUGAGGUGGGGCAUUUGGAUGGCCAUACUUGAGCUAGGCUGACUUCCAGGAACCUCCCUUUUAACCACACACUCCUAAGAGGCUGCAAUUCUUGAUAUGUUCAUCCUCUGAUAGGAGGGCCUCCUCCUCCUGGUGGGAAACUGCACAGAAAGAGCAUGAACAAGGGGGCUUGCUGUGUAGAUGAGCUCAGCCAGGUUCACCUGGCAGGGCAAGGGGCCCACAGUGAAGUGGCUACAACCAGAAGUGCUCUAAAAGAGGGGGCACAAAUUUAAGCCCUAACUACAGCACCCAGGUAACUAACAAAUCCUUUGUUUUAUUUAAUUUCCUGGGGACACUGUUAGAGUCACCUGUCUGACACCAGCCUCAGACCAGAGAGCCCUUACUACUCUUCUGCUUUCCUAGGCAUGGUCCUAGUGGGACUGUCCCUUACUCUUUUCUUUUGGGAUGCUGCAGGAUCACACUCUGGUCUUUUCAGGAGAUCCUAGAACUCUGGAAGUCAUAGUGAGGAGAGGACUAAAGGGUAAGACCAAAUUCAUGGCAAGAUCUGUCUAAUUUGGCUCCAGGUCAGAGGGGCAAAUAGCUGACACCCACACAAGCACUCAGAUUUCAUUCCAUGUCAUACCAGCUCCCUGUAAUUAGGGAGUCAAGGAUCAUCAGAGCUGGAAGCAACCCUGAGAUCAUCUGGUUCCAUAUUAUGGUAUUAGAGAGGAAUAAGCUGAGGCCUGGGAGGGGAGUGACUCACCUGAGAUUGGACUAUGUGACGGCAGAGCCAGCACAUAUUUCAGGGCUCAUGGUCUAAAUAAAGACCAAUUCUUUUUCCAUCAGCUGUCAGUCUCACAUUUGGUUUCUAAAAUAUUCCCUGGGAACAGGGGUGGGAGUGGGCAAUAGCUAAAAGUGGUCUGCCACAGUUUUGUGUGGUGUUUUUUUUGAACUGGAUUGAACCUAGGGGCACUUAACCACUGAGCACAUCCCCAGCCCUUUUUCAUUAAGUUACUUAGGGCCUCUCUAAAUUGUUGAGGCUGGCUUUGAACUUGUGAUUUUCUGCCUCAGCCUCCUGAGCUACUGGGAUUACAGGUGUGCAGCACCAUACCAGUUUGUGUUUCAUUUUGAAGUGACAUGAAGAUUUCCUCUUUUCCUUUACCACACAGCCAAUUUCACUGUAUAAAAACAACUUUUCUUCAAUCUUUGGGUAAAUCUGGUGUUUCAGGAAACUGCCACAAAUACUCCAAAGCUCUGCGGUCCAGCCAGGGAAAGAUCACUCCAAUCUGGAAAAUUCACAGAUCUCAGAUCUCUGUGUUCCUGUCUUCCAACAGGCAGCACCACAGUUUCAGCAGAGGAUGCUCAGAAUGACUGGUAUUUGAAGGGAAAGAGCCUUUUUUUCCUCCUUUUUUCAGUAUUUGAGAUCAAGCCCAGGGCCUUGCUUAUGCUAGGCAAGUUCUCUGCCUCUGAGCUGUAUCUCCAGCCCUGAGCCAGGAGUCUAUUUUUCAACUGAGUUACUGUGUGGGCCUCAGGUUCCAAGAAUCCCACCUGCUCUGUUGCAUAUGCCCUGGUCAUUGCCCUGCCAUGCUUAUUUUCCCAGUGACUAAAUAGUUGCAGAGAAGAAAUAAAUACAAGAGUAUCUGACUUCAGUGGAUAAAACAAAAACAAAAAACUAAUAAAAGACACUGGCAGGGGCUUUCCUAAAAAGUACAGAGGACUAUUACAGCAGCCAAAGAGAAGCUGGGCCUAACUUCCCAUCACACAAUGCUACUUUUUUUUUUUUUUUUACAGCAGCCUUCUCUCUUCAGAGACAGGCAUAAAUGUAAUCAACCGUAGCAGACCCAGCCCAUGCCCUGGACAGGGACAUGUGAGAUGAUCUGGGGUAACUUGGGUAGAGGGGCAAAGACAGUAUUGCCCAGGUCAUGUUCAAGCACAGGGCUGCUCCUGUCCUCUGGAGAGGUGAAGUUCUGGUAGGGCCAAGAGGUAGUGGACAGGUGAAGCCCCACGGUUGUGAGUGAGGGAUAGUGUCAGGAUCUGCGUGCUCACCUUGCUUGCAUACUGCUCCAGGGCUACCACUGUGUCUGCGCUAAAGCCCUCAUCAUCUUCUGCUGCCAGAUCUUCUAAGCCCACCUCUGUCUGCACGGCCAGGAUGGUGCUGUCUGAUGGCACAGCCACAGGAUGGUGAAUGUAGGCAGUGGAGCCAUCUUCCAGCUGCACAGCUUCCAGGGCACUGGGAUCAUAGCCCUCUGCAAGGAACACACGAUUAGCCCUGAAGCCACACAAGAGGAGAAGACAGAGCUGGGAACCUGGCUUUAACUUAAUGAAAGGUACACAUUCCAAGGAGUUUCAACAUCAAGUUUGUCCUGGCCUUCACCUUGGUGAUUCCUUCUUGCUAGUGGGAAUUCCUUCUGGGGUUGCCUCUCCUAAGGACAAGGUCUCUAUGGUGUGCUGAUUGGAAACUCACUAGCUCCUCAAGGACCUAAUGGGACCACCAUCACCUGGGCUUAGAUGGCCACAAAGGCUUCCUGAUCAAGCACCUCUCCCCUGUUCUACUUCCUUCUAGGCAGCAUGGCAUCUAUAGGAAUCUUACAGGACACAAAGGUGAUCCCAUCACCUAACUGCUUUAACAGUUCAAAUGUUUCCCACUGGUCUUAGGACAAACACCAAGAUCCAAACCCCAAUGCAACCAGUGAGUGCUCUGCCUUUCUCAUUCUGGCUUCCUCUUAACCACUCUCCUCUCUCCCCUAGUCUUCUAGCUCCCAGAAGUUCCUAGAAUGUGCCAUUAUUUCUCCCAGCUCUCCAGCUCCAUGCCUACCAUGCUAUUCCUCUGUCUGCAGUACUGAAUGCUCCCUGCCACCCUCCUUCCCCUAGCUAAAUCUAUCCAUCCUUCAGCUCUCAGUUCCAGCAUCACUUCCUUAGAGAAGUCCUCCCUGAGCCUGAUCCCAGCUUGUAAUGAUCAGUUCAUCAGUGAUGGCUUAUUUCACUUCUCUUUCCCCCUCUAGACUAUGGGUGAGCAUGGACUGUGUCUAACUUGAUUCUCCCUUGUAUGCUUCAUGCCUAGCACAAUGGCUGACAUAUAGUCGUUGCCCAAGAAGCACUUGGCCACUGGGAUUUAACUCAGGAGCACUUGGCCACUGAGCCACAUUCCAGCCCUAUUUUGUAUUUUAUUUAGAGACAGAGUCUCACUGAGUUGCUUAGAACCUUGCCACUGCUGAGGCAGGCUUUGAGCUCAUGAUCUUCCUGCCUCAGCCUCUUGAACCUCUGGGAUUACAGGCAUGUGGUAUCGAACCUGGCAGGAGCUCUAUUCUUAAAUAUUGGUUAAGUUUCUUUUUUCCUGGCUACGGAUGAUGUCCUCAAGUCCUAUUUAAAGCCUUAAUACUUUGUGGACGUGCUGGAGCCAAAGUCACCACCAAGGCCCACGUACAGACUCUUAAAGCUUAGCCUCCUGGUGGCAGAGACAGCUGUAUGCACAGGAAAGGUGGGUAAGGCUGCUAACAAAGGUGAGCAUACAUGUGCUUCGGGGAGGACAGCAUCUGUGUCUAUAUUCUAAUCAUCACAAUGUGCCACUCUAUCCCCUCUGCCCUGACCUCUGUCAGUUCUGUGUCCAUUCUUUUCCCUGUCAGUUGUGAUGUCCAUGAACCCACCUUUGGGUGUGCGGUGUAUAUAGGCCAUGCUGCCAUCUUCCAGUUGCACAGGCUGUCCAUCCUCAAAGGAGAGAGAUUCUGUAAUGAGAGCAAUGCCAGUCUUUCUCUGGAGCUUGGAGCCACAGAGGGGUCCUUGAUGGGGACUGCCAUCCCUCCACAAGCCAGGGGUGUGUUGGUGUCCUCACCUUUCUGUACUGUCACUUGGUGAAUGUAUGCGGUGGUCCCAUCCUCAAGCUGGAUCACUUGCCCUUCAAGCAGCUUCUCUCCUAUGGAGGUGGAAAUGGAGAGAAAUGGGCCAGGCCUGAAAAGGACUCAGAGAUGCCUGUUUUUAGAAAAGGCCAUUUGAGACUCUGGGCAUGAGCCUGUAGCACAGAUAAUGUUCACCAAGUUUCCUUGCUCCUGAACUUCCUAGGCCUGGGCCUUGAGGCACUGAGAAUAAAGACAUCCUGUCAUUCAGGAACCUUGCAUCUCCCAGCAGAUCCCCUUCCUGUCACUCACAGGGGAGAAACUUCCUUUAUUAUUCCGCCCAAGCCCGGCAAAGUGGGGAUUUCCAGCCUAACAGAAACUGCUGAGAUUGAACUAAAUGGAGAACAAAGGAAACCCAGGAGGGACCCAAAUGUGGACACAACAUCUUUGUUUGUACGUGGUGCUGAGGAUCGAACCUGGGCCGAACGCAUGCCAGGCAAGCGCGCUACAGCUUGAGCCACAUCCCCAGCCCCUUUCUUUAGAAGUUUUACAUUUUGGAAUUUGAUUCUUAUGAGAUAGGAAAAGAAUGAGGUGGCUACUUCUGGCCCAGCUUUCUGCUAUCUCCCCUUCAGAAGAGUCCCCAAACUUGUCUCCAGACUGAAUUGUUGAGAGCCACAGCCGAAGGGGCCCCAGCAAACUUUCAGACUGCCAGCUGAUGAUUGGCUCACAGCAGCCCCAGCAACAUCUAGCUGAUUGGCUCCUCUGCAGUGAUGCUCAUUGGGCUGUUUCCCGCCCUUUCAGACUACGGAGCUGCUCAUUGGGGAACUUUUUUUGGCUCCGCCCAUGCGACCCAGCCAAUCGGCCUCAAGAGCAGGAGGAGGCGGGGAGGUGGAGAGGCUUGUGGGAAGCUGGUGGUGGCAGUUGGGCUCUGAGGGUUUUUCCUGAGGAGCUGUUUUGUUUGGCGUGUGUGGUUCUAAAAAUAAAGUUCAUUUCUUUUGACAA
Molecule: long non-coding RNA, 7982 nt
Organism: Marmota monax (woodchuck)
Lineage: Eukaryota; Metazoa; Chordata; Mammalia; Rodentia; Sciuridae
Exons: 4
Source: RefSeq, a predicted model, not a curated record